AAUCAACGCUGGCGGCGUGCCUCAGACAUGCAAGUCGAACGAUUAAAGCUCUCUUCGGAGAGUGUAUAGAGUGGCGCACGGGUGAGUAACACGUAAGUAAUCUACCUUUGAGUGGGGAAUAACCCGGGGAACCCGAGCUAAUACCGCAUAAUGCAGCGGCAUCGCAAGAUGACAGUUGUUAAAGGAGCAAUCCGCUUAAAGAGGAGCCUGCGGCAGAUUAGCUAGUUGGUAAGGUAAUGGCUUACCAAGGCUACGAUCUGUAACCGGCCUGAGAGGGCGGACGGUCACACUGACACUGAAUAACGGGUCAGACUCCUACGGAGGCAGCAGUCGGGAAUUUUGGGCAAUGGGCGAAAGCCUGACCCAGCAACGCCGC
This 376-nucleotide ribosomal RNA is filed under the name uncultured bacterium. RNAcentral describes it as "bacterial SSU rRNA". It matches the Rfam family "Bacterial small subunit ribosomal RNA", at positions 32 to 400 of the family's 1533-position model. The record is from RNAcentral.